CCCUUAGAUGUUCUGGGCUGCACGCGCGCUACACUGAUGCGUUCAACGAGUUUAUGACCUUGCCCGAUAGGGUUGGGUAAUCUUUUUAAAUCGCAUCGUGAUGGGGAUAGAUUAUUGCAAUUAUUAAUCUUCAACGAGGAAUUCCUAGUAAGCGCGAGUCAUCAGCUCGUGCUGAUUACGUCCCUGCCCUUUGUACACACCGCCCGUCGCACCUACCGAUUGAAUGGUCCGGUGAAAUCUCGGGACGGCGGCUUGGUCGCUUGCGUCCGACUGCUGAAACUUGAUUAAACCAUAUCAUUUAGAGGAAGGUGAANUCGUAACA
RNAcentral lists this ribosomal RNA (322 nucleotides) under uncultured eukaryote. RNAcentral describes it as "partial 18S ribosomal RNA". It matches the Rfam family "Eukaryotic small subunit ribosomal RNA", at positions 1470 to 1796 of the family's 1831-position model. The record is from RNAcentral.